RNAcentral lists this ribosomal RNA (392 nucleotides) under uncultured bacterium. Its description in RNAcentral is "partial 16S ribosomal RNA". It matches the Rfam family "Bacterial small subunit ribosomal RNA", at positions 523 to 918 of the family's 1533-position model. The record is from RNAcentral.
AUACGGAGGAUCCGAGCGGUAUCCGGAUUUAUUGGGUUUAAAGGGUGCGCAGGCGGCCAUUUAAGUCAGCGGUUAAAUCGUGGGGCUCAACCCCAGUCUGCCGUUGAUACUGGGUGGCUUGAUUGCGGUCGAGGUUGGCGGAAUACGUUGUGUAGCGGUGAAAUGCAUAGAUAUGACGAAGAACAACGAUUGCGUAGGCAGCUGACCAGACCGCAAAUGACGCUCAUGCACGAAAGUGCGGGGAUCGAACAGGAUUAGAUACCCUGGUAGUCCGCACAGUAAACGAUGAAUACUUGUUUUCGGCGAUAUAAUGUCGGAGGCAAAGCGAAAGCGAUAAGUAUUCCACCUGGGGAGUACGCCGGCAACGGUGAAACUCAAAUGAAUUGGCGGGG